UUGACUUUUGACUCGAUGGUCUCACAAAUACUAUACAUUACAAUACGAAUGUUUAAAGACACAAAAUGUAUGACUAGUGCUGUCACGCAGUACCACAUUUGUGGUUUUUAUUCUUGCUUUACUGUUUUUGUUUUUGAUCGUCUCUUAACAAUUUGAAUGUAAAGCACUUGAAUGAAGUUAUUCUCAUGUAGUAAUUCUACAUAUUUAACAAUUAAAACUGGAGAAAUGACCUUUCAGUAACGUCCGAAAAUAGUUGCUGGACACAAAUCUGUAAAAUUACAUUUACAACGAAUAGUAAUCUGCAAUUUAUCCAGUUUAAAAUACUGCAUAGAUGGCAUACAACACAAUUUAAUACGUACAAAAUGGGGUUUUCCCCAAUCCAAUAAAUGUCCAAGCUGUCAGGAGAAUAGUCCAGAUACAUAUUUGCAUGCUAUUUGGCAGAGUGUACCUGUACAGCAUGUCUGGCUUGGGGUAAUAGUGAUGCACGAUAAUACAGUUUUCAACCGAUAACCGAUAAUUUCCUCGUUCCAACCGAGAAUGUCAAGCCGAUAAUUCUGUUAAAAGAUUUAUGUAAAAUUAUAAGGUAUUAACAAGAGAAAAUAUUACUGUGCAAAAUUAUAAUUUAUUGCUUUUUUUUUCAACAUCAAAUGUGAACAAGUAGUAAAUUCCAACAUCUAAAUAAAGACCGAUUGUCUGACAUUGUGCAAUGGUAAACUUUUGGCAACAAUUACUUUCAGCGUAAAUAUCUAAAUUGUACAAAAAAGCCUUUAAAAGUAAGCCAUACCGAACAUAUAACAUUACUAUACUGCAAAAACACAACUCCUUAAAGAGGAACUGAAGAGCUUUCCGGAUUUUGGUGUAAUUUUAUGAAUAUAAACUUGGGACAAGUUCAUCAAAACAACCAUGACAUUAUCAACACGUAAUUGUAAGGAUAAUUUGCGUUUUUUUAGUUUUUUUGCACUCCGUUAAUGGUCCCUUCGCAAACCCGGAAGUGUGACGUAGGCAACAGAAGACUACCCACAGCUAACAUAGCAGCAACAACGAUGUCAGUGAUAUUUCCACCAAAGGUAACCAUUCAGGAUCGCUCUUUCGUGACGCUACCGAUGGCAAAGGCUCCCAGGAAAGAUGAAGUACAAUUAAUCCCUACAUGUUUGAACCUGAAGCGUCAGAUGACGGCGAUUUACUUGACACAGCAGAUGGCGUCAUGACGCCAAUUGACAGCUCGACACUUCACGAACGGGAGAGUGAGUGGUGUUGCUGUAAACCGUCAAGUAAUUACCCUUCCAAGAGUAUGCCUGUGUCAUCAGGAGAUCCCAGACGUGAGAGCCAAACUUGCGGAGGCUGAAGCACUGACAGGGGCAUGAAUUUCAUUAAAAAAAUAAAACCAUAAAUUGUUAACAAUAUUGACACAUUUUGUUGACUGUUUAAUGUAUUCUAUUGGUAUAUAAUAUAUUGUAAUUAUAUUACAUUCUGAAAAAAUAUUCAAUAGGCCGCAAUAAUAAAUGAUACCAGGUUUAUGUUGAAUCAGCAUUAGCUUUCGUUGUCAGAUUGUGACACAACAUGUUAUACCAAGCACACAACGGCACACAUCAAAGAGCAUAAUUUUAGUAAGCAACACAAAGUUAGGAUAGCAACGGACUAGCGCAACAUUGAAAAAUGAUAAUGGCAGUGGGAAAUAUGUAUUUACUCUUUUCUGUAGCAUGAAGUGUUCUCUAUACAAAGAUAAUGCAUUAUCAUUAAAAUAUGAAGGUAACUUGAUUUUUCUUUUAAAAAAUGUGUACUGUAUAUAUGACUAGUUUAUGAUUUCAUGUCAUCAAAAUUUGCUACAUUUAUUUCUCCUAAAUCAUCGUCAUCUGAUGUCGCAGACGGAAGAAAUUCAGCAUCUGGCAGGCCUCAUAGGAUCUCUUCAGUUGUCAUCGCUGGACACCGCAUCGCUUCGGUCAUCAUAUGACUCGACCCACUCUCUCUUGAUUUUGGGAAACUGGGUGGCAACUGACUUGCAACGCUUUUUUCAUCGUGUUGAGGGUUUCCGCCACUUAAUUUUUUAUGUUUGGCUUCCUGGAGGGAAAAAAAAAUCACAGCAGCAUGAAAAUAUUGGAUGAAUCCUAAUUUUAAUUUAAUAAUAAUUUCUUGGUGAUCAAAUAAUAAUGCCCCAGUCGUAGCAGCAUCUAUUUGAUGCUAUCGUUCCCUCUUCAAAUAGGCAGACCUUAAUGUUGAAAUAUAAAAAAACAACGAGCCAAGGACCUAUUUGGUGCUGGGGACAUUUGAAUUUACAUAACACCUAUUGAUAUAGUAAUAAAAUCACAUGAGUAGACGACAUGUCAGCCAACCUAUCUACUUAUGACAGGCCAACAGCAAAAAAAGAAAAAAAAAAAUGUCGCUUUCAACAAACUGACAGUAGGAGUCCCCCUCGUUUAUAUAUAAAAAAAAAAAAAAAGCCAUUAAUGUUCUACUUACGUCUUUGGAAAACCAAGGUUGCAUUGCUGUAGGUUUUCAAAGCUGUCGUGGCUGAAAUGAUGAAAACAAUGAGCCGAUUGGGGACCUGGAUGCAUGCUAACAAAAACGGUCCAAACCUUUGCAGGAGAAGUUUUUUUUUGGACCACUCCUAGAGUCUCAAGUCUUCCUGUGAGUAAUUCAUAUUGCUACACAUCGAGAUGGCAUGACGAAUCCCGCGAGUAAAACCCAGAAAAUGUUUGCAAUAUAUGGCGAGGAUAGCGUGGUGCUAUAUUUCCGUGUUCAGAGUGGUGGCGAGGCUUCCUGGAAGUUACGUCACGAGGUAGGGGUCGGCAGGACGGCGCGUCCCUCGUUGCUAUGGUGUUGCUAUGGCCAUAACUCAAAAACUACGCGGUCAAUUAUUAUUAUUAUUUUUUUUAUGUGACUUUUUGAGAGAGCGAAUGACGCAUUUAAUACAAUUCAACUGAGUAAAACACUUAAGAGCGAAAUCUGAAAACCUCUUCAGUUCCCCUUUAAAACUAGUUUUGAGUGUUAAUUUCACUUAUUUCCAAUAGAUUAUCUGCCAGCGCUUCAAGUAGGCCUGUCGCGAUAACAAAUUUUAGUGUUCGAUAAUUUAUCUCAUAAACUAUUGCGAUAUGCGAUAUUAUUGCCCCCCCAUUUAAAAAAAAAAAUAAAAAUU
Long non-coding RNA from Corythoichthys intestinalis (scribbled pipefish), 3133 nucleotides. RefSeq lists it as uncharacterized. NCBI's taxonomy places the organism in Eukaryota, Metazoa, Chordata, Actinopteri, Syngnathiformes, Syngnathidae. The record is from RefSeq and is a predicted model, not a curated record. The transcript has 2 exons.